This is a long non-coding RNA of Entelurus aequoreus (snake pipefish), 4181 nucleotides long. RefSeq lists it as uncharacterized. The record is from RefSeq and is a predicted model, not a curated record. Lineage: Eukaryota; Metazoa; Chordata; Actinopteri; Syngnathiformes; Syngnathidae. The transcript has 6 exons.
UAACGCAACUUAUUUAUUAUUUACAAAGGAGAAAAUGUGAUUACAUUUCCACACAGGGAAGGGAACAUUAUUAAUAUGCGCUCCCAUGAUUUCAUGUGUUUAUUGUCUGCUUCAUAAGGAUGUUUUCCGGGCGCAGACUAAUUCCUGGAAAAGAUGGCGAAGGAAGGAAUAAAUAAUUGAAGAAGCAAUUAAGGCCUGCACGAGAAGAAAAUACCGGCUCAUUAAAAAUUCAUGCGGCAAAUCCCGCGAGACUUGGCGAGGCACUCGAUCGCGGCCACGCCCACGCCGCCGGUGCACGUGAGCAGCAAAAAAAGCCAAAACAUCUCAACAAGAUGGCGCUUGAGUUAAACCCUUUCAACUCUUUUUGGACGACUUCUCGGCGUCAAAUGGAGCAAGUGUGAGACCCCCGAGGACGACGAGCGGUCCAAAAGUGAAAAUUGAGGUCGAAGUGGAUGAGAGAAGCAGUGAUGCCAAGAAGAAUGACACUCAGGUCAUCAUGUGGACUCUGAGUCUCUGUCCUCAUCAAGUUUGUCCUCCACUUCCUGUUUCAAAGACAUGUGCCCUCCUCGCAGUCUCCACCCGCCCACCACGUCCCAGGGGUGACAUCAAACGCUGCUGCUGAGUGCCACCUUUGUCAUCCCUCCAUCCUGGGAGGGGGGCGGAGCUAUGAGGACGAAAGCGCUGACUCAGCAAGAAGAAGAAUUAAAAAAACAAAAACAAAGAGAAGAGAAGAGAAGCAAAGCCCCGCGGGGGUGACGUCGGACGCCGUUUAAUGAGAGAAGGAUGGAGAGUUGAGCAGCUGCUGCUCCAUGACUCCACAGCCCAGCACCUCCAUCCAGUCGCCCUGGAAACGCACUUCCAUCUCAAAGGAAGGAUGAGUGAAGGGGAAGUAACAGUCCACCCAGCGCACCUCCACAUCUAAGGAGGAAGCGGUGGAAGUCAGCCAUGGCGACUCUUUGAAGGCGCCCCCUGCCAGCUGACCUUUUCCAAACAGGUGGGUGACGAGUCGCGUCAGCGUGCGCUUCAGGUCAAACUCCACCAGCUUGACGGCCUCCAGGGUUUGCGUUUCCUGUUUCUGUGGCGUCCUGCGGCCAGCGACCUCAAACAUCUGGAGGUCUUUGCCGUUCUGAACCUUGGAGAAGAGCUGCGCGCAAAAGUCACACAACGCUCAGUGGGAAAGUUGAUUUAAGGACAGUGGCCUCCAUCUUACCUCAUGGUCGGAGAAGAGUCGCACGCCUUCCAUCUGGUGGAAGACUGGGUAGUGACUGGCGUCAAUCUCGUCCCGUCGGUAAACGUCUCCAGCCAAUAGGAAGGCGUCCAGACCGGAUCUCACCAGCUCCCUCUGGUGGGCGGAGGUGUGAGCGCGUAGCAUGGUGGCCCUUUUGAGGGGCCCACAUGCUGAUGACCAGGAUGUUCUACAGUACAACAGGUGCAUGGGCAGGGAGUCACUUACCUAUUCAGGUAAUAGUUAUCUCCACGCUUCCUGCUGGGGUGGUCGGGCGGAAUCAGCAAGCUGUCAAUCAAACACGACCAAAGUAAGAAGAACAAAGAUGGAGGAGGAAGUAAUGGCGAGGCUGUCAAUCAAACGACCUGUCAAAGUUCUGCUCCACGGUAACCACGGGGCUCAGGUUGUCAUGGACGGAGAACAACGGGUUGCCCCAGCGACCGAUGUAGGCACUGCGGCACACAACAAAUCCACGACUUGUUAAACAAAAUAAAAAAUAUUCAUCAGUCAUGAAAAAUGCUUGAGCAGGCGCGUCUUAAAGAGUAAAGAUCACGACCCCCUCAAAUGGCAGAAUCGUAAAGCACCGUCGCACAACCCGCUUAACGACUUCCUAAUGCAACAUUAAUGCGGCGAUUGCUGCAAGCCACUUUUAUGGCGACUCAGGCAGAUAACAACGUUCGCUGAGGAGCGCAGUUAACUUUUACACUGCUGCCUCCCCGAAGACGCGUCCGAGACACGCACUCAGCUGAUUGUUCAAAAACUACAGCGAGGAGGCCGGCGUGUGCUGAGCGUCAUGUGACACUCGGCGGUGUCCUCACCUGUAGAAGUGAGCCUUGAUCCUCUCCUUGACGAGCCAGAGAGGAUGAUGGGAGCGGUUGUGGAGGUCGCGGCCCACUUUGGCCAGGAUCUUGGGGGUAACGUUGGUGAAGUCAUCGCAGGGGUAGGCGUGGCCUAAGACCUCCACGGACUCUUGAGCGAUCGCGGGCUUGAGGGCAGGGCCUUCCGUGCAGACGUGCCGAAGUGACGCGGCGAUGCCACGAAGAGGAGGGGGGCGAAGCAGCAGGCGCAAUAUCAUGCUGACACGUCCAUGGAGCUGGAACAGAAAGUAAAAGGAGGUCAGUUGGUAGCGAAUCCUUCGAGAAUGACCCCUACAAGCUGGCAAGCAACUGACCCGUCAUAAAAUCCAAGAAUGGAAACUCGGCAGAAUGUUGCUGAGGGGAGAAUAAAACUGCUGUGUAAAAGGUCAGGUCAUCUGGGAUGUACUACUCCGCGUCAUCAUUUGGCUGAAGAUGACUACAGGAAAGGUCACAAAAGUCCAAUGCGGGACACUUUUAGACUGCGGACUUUCUGACAUCAAAACAUGCAAAUGAACGAGGCGACUGUCGCCAUAGCGAUGACGCUCUCAGCAUCGAGCUGCUUGGGGCGUUCCCAUGACAACAACGUGUGCCCUUGGACAAAGGAAAGAAGUUAUGAGAAGUGACUCACAACAAACACGAACAGAUGGACACACAAGUGAAGAUUUAGCGCGGAUUACUCGCGUCUGCGGCCGCCUGCGGCUAAAACAGUUAGCGUACUGGUCAAGGUUGUCUAAUUUGCCACGACCGUCUGCUACUUCUCACUCAUUUCGGCAGGAAGACGAGCAGCGUGUGGCCUUAAGGCAGCCGUGUCCAAAGUGUGGCACCUUCAAAAAAUACCAGGAAAAACAAAACAAAACAAAAAAAGUGGAAUAAAAGAGCGAAGAGGUGAAAAGUAACGAGAAAAAGUUGCAAUGGUGACUCUGAAAAAACUAUGCUGCCAUGCAGGCUGUUAUUUACUUUAAAGCUGUCAUUGCUCCAAAAAUAAUGAAUCAAAAUCAAUGUUAUGAAUUAUUGACCUAGACAAGGCUCACAUUACUUCAAAUCAAGAAUUCCACUUUGAAAUAUGUUGUUGAGAAAAAUAUUGCAUAUUUUUUGUGUUUGCCGUAUGAAAAACAAGUUUUUUUGAACAAAAAAGGGCAUAAAACAAACCAAAAAAAACAUGAAAAAAAUAAUAAAAACUUACAUAAAAGCGAUGGAUAGAUCCAAAGCUGACUUAAGCGUUGAAAGUAAAAAAAAAAAAGUAUGACUUAUUUUCAACAUUUUUUUUGGAUACCCAAAAAUUUUUGUGGGAUUUUUUUAAACUAUCGUUGCUCAAAAAUAAUGAAUCAAAAUCAAUGUUAUUAUGGAUUAUUGACCUAUUCAACGUUGUCUGUCUAUCUGUGUUGGCCCUGCGAUGAGGUGGCGACUUGUCAUGGGUGUAAACCACCUUCCGCCCGAAUGCAGCUGAGAUAGGCUCCAGCACCCCCCGCGACCCCGGAAGGGACAAGCGGUAGAAAAUGGAUAGAUGGAUGGAUGGAAGGCCUCAAUUACUUCACAUAAAAAAUUGACUUUGAAAUAUUUUUUGCACAAAAAAAAUUUCAUAUCUUUGUGUUUCUUCAGUAUUCAUUGACGAAAAGGGGCAUGAAACAAACAAAUAUAGUCAUUGAUGAUCAGGGCUCUCCAGUCUUCUCUGUUGUCCACCCUUUGUAUUAGUUCUUUAUAAUUAAUAUUUCCGAUAACAUUUCUGAGGCUGUUGAUAUGUUUUUCGUUGACGACCUGGAGCUUUCUUUCCUGCUAGUUUUCCUGUCAACAUCAGUUUUUCCAAGAUGUCUUUUCUAAUGAUAUGUCUGAGAAAUUUCAGCGGCCUAUUUCGAAACGUUGCAAUGAGAGAUCGUCUUGUUUUUGCCCAUGUCAAUACCUCUUUAUUACUUUUCUUUUCAGUCCAUGAUAUCCGGAGUAUUUUUUGAAGAACCACAUUUCAGUUGCCUCUAAUUUUCUCAGUUGUUGAUUAUUUAAAGUCCAGCAUUCAGACCAUACAUACCUUUUGAGGACUCUUGAGUUUGGUGUCAAUUGAGAUGUUUCUAUUUCUACAAAACCAGUGAAGUUGGCACGUUGUGUAA